Molecule: ribosomal RNA, 1719 nt
Filed under: Caldanaerobacter subterraneus subsp. yonseiensis KB-1
Lineage: Bacteria; Bacillati; Bacillota; Clostridia; Thermoanaerobacterales; Thermoanaerobacteraceae
Description: bacterial LSU rRNA
Rfam family: Bacterial large subunit ribosomal RNA
Source: RNAcentral
AGAUAGCUGGUUCUCCCCGAAAUAGCUUUAGGGCUAGCCUCAGGGUAAAGCCUGUGGAGGUAGAGCGACUGACUGGGCUAGGGGCCGAGAGGCUACCGAACCCUAUCAAACUCCGAAUGCCACAGGUGGGUCCCUGGGAGUCAGACCACGAGUGAUAAGAUCCGUGGUCGAGAGGGGAACAGCCCAGACCCCCAGCUAAGGUCCCUAAGGGCAUGUUAAGUGGGAAAGGAAGUGGGACUUCGAAGACAACCGGGAUGUUGGCUUAGAAGCAGCCAUACAUUUAAAGAGUGCGUAACAGCUCACCGGUCGAGAGGUCCUGCGCCGAAAAUGAACGGGGCUCAAACAUGCCACCGAAGCUGGGGCUUAACAGAAGUCAGAGACUUCUGUUAGGGGUAGGGGAGCGUACUGCGCGGGCAGAAGGCUGAGCGUAAGCGAGGCUGGACUGCGCAGUAGUGAGAAUGCCGGCAUGAGUAGCGAGAGCAAGGUGAGAAACCUUGCCGCCGGAAGCCUAAGGUUUCCUGGGGAAGGGUAAUCCGCCCAGGGUAAGUCGGGGCCUAAGCCGAGGCCGAAAGGCGUAGGCGAUGGGAAACCGGUUGAUAUUCCGGUACCACCGAGGGCCGCAUGAGGGAAGUGGGGACGCAGCGAGGUAGGCGGAGCGCGCGGUUGGUAGAGCGCGUCCAACCAGCCACCGAAGGGCACGUAGGCAAAUCCGCGUGCUGGCAGGGGGCUGGGAAGGGGAGCCGCAAGGCGAAGCCGCCGAGGCAGCUGCCAAGAAAAGCCGCUACCGAGGCCUGAGGUGCCCGUACCGCAAACCGACACAGGUAGGCGAGGAGAGAAUCCACAGGCGAGCGGGAGAACCCUCCUUAAGGAACUCGGCAAAUUGACCCCGUAACUUCGGGAGAAGGGGUGCCUCCCUCAGGCUUAGAGUUUAUUGCUCUAGGCUUGAGAAGGCCGCAGAGAAGAGGCCCAAGCGACUGUUUACCAAAAACACAGGUCUCUGCUAAGCCGAAAGGCGAAGUAUAGGGGCUGACGCCUGCCCGGUGCUGGAAGGUUAAGGGGAAGGGUGUAGGCUCUGAACCGAAGCCCCAGUGAACGGCGGCCGUAACUAUAACGGUCCUAAGGUAGCGAAAUUCCUUGUCGGGUAAGUUCCGACCUGCACGAAAGGCGUAACGACUUGGGCGCUGUCUCGAGGAGGGGCCCGGCGAAGUUGUAGUGCUCGUGAAGAUGCGAGCUACCCGCGAUUGGACGGAAAGACCCCGUGGAGCUUUACUGUAGCCUGUCACUGGACACUGCUAGUUUCUGUACAGGAUAGGUGGGAGACUGAGAAGGUGGCGCGCCAGCGUCACUGGAGUCGGCGUUGGGAUACCACCCUGAGACUAGUGGGGUUCUAACCUUAAGCCGUGAACCGGCGAAGGGACAAUGGCAGGUGGGCAGUUUGACUGGGGCGGUCGCCUCCUAAAAGGUAACGGAGGCGCCCAAAGGUCCCCUCAGCGCGGACGGGAAUCGCGCGUCGAGUGCAAGGGCAGAAGGGGGCUUGACUGUGAGAGAGACAUCUCGAGCAGGGACGAAAGUCGGGCUUAGUGAUCCGGCGGCAGUGAGUGGGAACGCCGUCGCUCAACGGAUAAAAGCUACCCCGGGGAUAACAGGCUGAUCUCCCCCAAGAGUCCACAUCGACGGGGAGGUUUGGCACCUCGAUGUCGGCUCAUCGCAUCCUGGGGC